CUGGGAAUGGCUCAGCAGUCCAGAGCACUGACUGCUCUUCCAGAGGUCCUGAGUUCAAUUCCCUGCAUCCACA
RNAcentral lists this transfer RNA (73 nucleotides) under Mus musculus (house mouse). Its description in RNAcentral is "tRNA-Ser". The record is from RNAcentral. Lineage: Eukaryota; Metazoa; Chordata; Mammalia; Rodentia; Muridae.